This is a long non-coding RNA of Helicoverpa zea (corn earworm), 1238 nucleotides long. RefSeq lists it as uncharacterized. The record is from RefSeq and is a predicted model, not a curated record. NCBI's taxonomy places the organism in Eukaryota, Metazoa, Arthropoda, Insecta, Lepidoptera, Noctuidae. The transcript has 4 exons.
CUGAUGCACUGCUUGAGCGAAAACCCUCAAAACUUCUCUUAAAACUCAUAUAAAUAUAUCACUUAAUUUUUAGACACCGCCAUUUUCGGACCCCCUGUCCAAUUUAGUUUGGCAUCACACCAACUGUUCUCAUUUUAAAUUUGAAACUGUCGCGUGUGUUUUUUUUUAUUUUCUUUUUAUUUAUUUUAUUUUGUAGCCAGUGUUUUUUAUCGUGCCUCUUUUUUGAAGCUGUCAUUCAAGGAAGCAGAUCCAGAUAUACAGGAUGUCACAAAACUGCAAAUCGUCGUACGCGACCGCGACCACACGGGAUGCGAAUAACAACACGCUGUAUCAUGGAGGGACUGGCCAGGGGUACGGGGGGAGGAGUUAUGCUCCCCCCAGUGUUGCCAGCAAUGGAAACUAUCAGCAAAUGACGGCGAAAGUGCUGUUCAGCGGCGUCACGACGAUCAAUGACCUCAAGAGGCAGGACAAGACGGAGCGGGAAGUGCGGCGGACACACUAGCGACAUCUAUACUCAGGAGCUGAAUAUGUGAUAAGAAAAUAUUGGAAGCUAAGGAGUGAUCUCGGAAGACAGAGUUUAUGUCCAUAAUAAAUAUUUUUAUAUACAUUUUGUAUUAGAAUUAAGAAAAGAUCCGGUUUUCUGUGUGACACUGAUUUUAUUUUGGAGCAUAAUCAUUAUUAAGUACAGCGCCAUCUAUUGCGCAAAAGAGAAAUAAAAUUAGUGUUAGAAAACUAUCGACUUAAUUUUAAUUUUAGAUAGUUUUUAAAAGAGAUUAUGUUAAAUUUAAAGAGUAUUUACAGAAGCCAUUAAAUUGAUGUUUCCUAAAAACCCGCCUCCUUGUAAAAUUUUAUCGAAAUUAAUAAAUGUUUAAUAUUUUUUUUAUAACUGUUAAUUCUUCUUUAUUAGUCACUAUUUAAGAUGGUGUAGGUACUACAUAAGGAAUUAUUUUAGUGAAAAAAUUGCGCAUUAAUAUCGAAUUUUCAAAAUCGAGAUCAUGUCAGUAGUCAAUGGAGGCUAUUAUGAAAAUAUCAGACAAUUUGAAGAGAAAUACAAAAUAAAUUUAAAUUAAGUUUAUCAUAGUCAACAACAACAAGAUUUUGUUGAUAACGUCACAACACUUAUCUGUGAUCUGUUGUUUUUUUAGAGAUUUUAUUAAUGUAUUAAUUAAUAUACUUAGAUUAUAUUUUUGUACUAACUGUUUUGGAACGUAUUAAAAUUUUCGUAAGCACGGACUUUG